AGAGAUGGCCACACCACCCUGAAAGUGCCCAAUCUCAUCGGAUCUUGGAAGCUAAGCAGGGUCAGGCCUGGUUAGAACUUGGAUGGGAAAAAGAGAUUGGGUUGGGAGUUGGGAGAAUAUCUUGA
Fukomys damarensis (Damara mole-rat) is the source of this 125-nucleotide ribosomal RNA. Lineage: Eukaryota; Metazoa; Chordata; Mammalia; Rodentia; Bathyergidae. The record is from Ensembl.